CGAGUCAGCCAGACAAUCGCUGUUCGAUUACCUUCGGGUGGUUGUAUGGAGGAAAGUCCGGGCUCCAUAGGGUGGGACGCCAGGUAACGCCUGGGGGGCGCGAGCCUACGGAAAGUGCAGCAGAGAGUAGACCGCCGAUGGCCUGUUCGCAGGCACAGGUAAGGGUGAAAGGGUGCGGUAAGAGCGCACCGCGCGGCUGGUAACAGUCCGCGGCACGGUAAACCCCGUUCGGAGCAAGACCAAAUAGGCCCCCUUUAGCCUUGUGCUAGCAGGUGUGACCCGCACUGGGGGCGGGUAGGUCGCUUGAGGUGUCUGGUGACAGGCAUCCCAGAUGAAUGAUUGUCCGCGACAGAACCCGGCUUAUCGGCUGACUCACCAA
Molecule: RNase P RNA, 379 nt
Filed under: Microbulbifer agarilyticus
Lineage: Bacteria; Pseudomonadati; Pseudomonadota; Gammaproteobacteria; Cellvibrionales; Microbulbiferaceae
Description: Bacterial RNase P class A
Rfam family: Bacterial RNase P class A
About the family: Ribonuclease P (RNase P) is a ubiquitous endoribonuclease, found in archaea, bacteria and eukarya as well as chloroplasts and mitochondria. Its best characterised activity is the generation of mature 5'-ends of tRNAs by cleaving the 5'-leader elements of precursor-tRNAs.
Source: Rfam by way of RNAcentral